RNAcentral lists this ribosomal RNA (671 nucleotides) under uncultured bacterium. RNAcentral describes it as "bacterial SSU rRNA". It matches the Rfam family "Bacterial small subunit ribosomal RNA", at positions 8 to 646 of the family's 1533-position model. The record is from RNAcentral.
AGAGGUUGAUUCUGGCUCAGGACGAACGCUGGCGGCGUGCUUAACACAUGCAAGUCGAACGAAAAGACGGAAAGAGCUUGCUCUUUCCGGAAUUGAGUGGCAAACGGGUGAGUAACACGUAAACAACCUGCCUUCAGGAUGGGGACAACAGACGGAAACGACUGCUAAUACCGAAUAAGUUCCAAGGGCCGCAUGGCCCAUGGAAGAAAAGGUGGCCUCUACCUGUAAGCUAUCGCCUGAAGAGGGGUUUGCGUCUGAUUAGCUGGUUGGAGGGGUAACGGCCCACCAAGGCGACGAUCAGUAGCCGGUCUGAGAGGAUGAACGGCCACACUGGAACUGAGACACGGUCCAGACUCCUACGGGAGGCAGCAGUGGGGAAUCUUCCGCAAUGGGCGAAAGCCUGACGGAGCAACGCCGCGUGAGUGAUGACGGCCUUCGGGUUGUAAAACUCUGUGAUCCGGGACGAAAAGGCAGAGUGCGAAGAACAAACUGCAUUGACGGUACCGGAGAAGCAAGCCACGGCUAACUACGUGCCAGCAGCCGCGGUAAUACGUAGGUGGCAAGCGUUGUCCGGAAUUAUUGGGCGUAAAGCGCGCGCAGGCGGCUUCCCAAGUCCCUCUUAAAAGUGCGGGGCUUAACCCCGUGAUGGGAAGGAAACUGGGAAGCUGGCG